CAGGGGGCUAUCCGUGCACCCUCCUCUUCCCACCUUAAGUUUACUGAGGUGACUUCCCCCGGCACCACAGAGAAAAUCUGCAAGUUCCCAAGCUGGUGUUGCUUUAUCAAUAGUGGUUGAAGAAUUAAAGAGGUAUUUAAUACUAUGCCUCCUUUGUGCCGCUAUGUCACCUACAUGCCUUUCACGGCUCAGGAUAAAUUGUAAUAAUCUUGGCAGAUGAUGUCGCACCUUGUCAUCUCAAUGGCUCUGGAAAGGAGAGCUCUAAGCAGCUCAUCAGUGAUUACAAAGUUUCUCUGCCUUUCUUAUAACUUAAGAGAAUGAAAUUUGGUGCCUGCAGUUAGUUGUACCUCCAUUUAUCCAGGCCAUAAACUCCUGUACAAAGCCAGCAAGCUCCAUCUGUUGGUACCUAAAAUGCAAUACAGGGAUGAACAGAGGGCCAGCCGUGCUUCUCCGUGUUUGGUGUGGUUUGGACUACAGUGAUUUCAACUGCAAGCAGCUAGGGGAGAGAUAUAUCUUGGGUUUGGAUGAACUGACAUUGUGAAACACUGUUUAAUCAGAAAAUCCUUUCCAAUUUCUGCUGAUGGCUGAUGAUCUCCUUAUAAGUAGUCAUAAUGAAUAGGAAGCCAGAAAAAGUAAGCAAUGCUAGGGCAACCAUGUAGAUGGGGCAUAGAAUGACUUCUGGGCAACCAGGCUGUGCCUGGAUGGAUUACGCUCUGAUAAAACCACGUCUCUCUCUGCUGCUGACCUUUCCUCUGAUGUACUAAAUUCAAAGCAACCUGCUCUUUUUGAGUCAAUAAAGUGGA
This is a long non-coding RNA of Oxyura jamaicensis (ruddy duck), 803 nucleotides long. RefSeq lists it as uncharacterized. The record is from RefSeq and is a predicted model, not a curated record. NCBI's taxonomy places the organism in Eukaryota, Metazoa, Chordata, Aves, Anseriformes, Anatidae. The transcript has 3 exons.